Molecule: ribosomal RNA, 456 nt
Filed under: uncultured bacterium
Lineage: Bacteria
Description: bacterial SSU rRNA
Rfam family: Bacterial small subunit ribosomal RNA
Source: RNAcentral
ACACGCUGGCGGCGUGCUUAACACAUGCAAGUCGAGCGAUGAAGUUUCUUCGGAAAUGGAUUAGCGGCGAACGGGUGAGGAACACGUGAAGAAUCUGCCCUCCACUUUGGGAUAACACCGGGAAACCGGUGCUAAUACCGAAUAUUGAAACAUAAGUGGCAUCACUGAGUUUUGAAAGAAUUUCGGUGGAGGAUGACUUCGCGGCCUAUCAGCUAGUUGGUGAGGUAAUGGCUCACCAAGGCAACGACGGUAGCCGGCCUGAGAGGGCGACCGGCCACACUGGGACUGAGACACGGCCCAGACUCCUACGGGAGGCAGCAGUGGGGAAUAUUGCACAAUGGGGGAAACCCUGAUGCAGCGACGCCGCGUGGAGGAAGAAGGUCUUCGGAUUGUAAACUCCUGUUGUUGAGGAAGAUAAUGACGGUACUCAACAAGGAAGUGACGGCUAACUACGUG